This 444-nucleotide ribosomal RNA is filed under the name uncultured bacterium. RNAcentral's name for it is "bacterial SSU rRNA". It matches the Rfam family "Bacterial small subunit ribosomal RNA", at positions 958 to 1398 of the family's 1533-position model. The record is from RNAcentral.
AACGCGAAGAACCUUACCAGGAUUCGACAUGUCCCUUUCGGGCUCUUGAAAGAGAGCCCUUCAGUUCGGCUGGGGGGAACACAGGUGCUGCAUGGCUGUCGUCAGCUCGUGUCGUGAGAUGUUGGGUUAAGUCCCGCAACGAGCGCAACCCUCGUCUCCUGUUGCCAUCAGGUCAAGCUGGGCACUCUGGAGAAACUGCCGGUGAUAAGCCGGAGGAAGGUGGGGAUGACGUCAAGUCCUCAUGGCCCUUACAUCCUGGGCUACACACGUGUUACAAUGGCGGUGACAAUGAGCAGCGAUCGCGCAAGCGCUAGCCAAUCUCAAAAAGCCGCCUCAGUUUGGAUUGCACUCUGCAACUCGAGUGCAUGAAAUUGGAAUCGCUAGUAAUCGCGGAUCAGCACGCCGCGGUGAAUACGUUCCCGGGCCUUGUACACACCGAUACUC